Molecule: unclassified non-coding RNA, 269 nt
Filed under: plant metagenome
Description: partial contains small subunit ribosomal RNA, internal transcribed spacer 1, and 5.8S ribosomal RNA
Source: RNAcentral
UUUCCGUAGGUGAACCUGCGGAAGGAUCAUUAAUGAGUUGUCAUGGGGUGCGAUGCUGGCAGCCAACUUUUGGAUGCAUGUGCUUGCCCUAACAAUCAUCUUCCAAACACCUGUGCACAUUUUUGAGGGAGUCUUGAGUUGGUUGCCGCUCUUGGGUGAUUUUCUCACAUUCCCUUAAAUCAUUAUACGCUAUUAACAAUGUUGAACGUGCUCUGUGCCGCAAGGCUAUUAAUAUAAUACAACUUUUAACAAUGGAUCUCUUGGCUCUC